GGAAUAAAAGUCGUAACAAGGUUUCCGUAGGUGAACCUGCGGAAGGAUCAUUACUGAGUGAGGGCCCCUCGGGGUCCAACCUCCCACCCGUGUUUAACGAACCUUGUUGCUUCGGCGGGCCCGCCUCACGGCCGCCGGGGGGCAUUUGCCCCCGGGCCCGCGCCCGCCGAAGCCACCUGUGAACGCUGUCUGAAGUAUGCAGUCUGAGACAAUUAUUAAAUUAAUUAAAACUUUCAACAACGGAUCUCUUGGUUCCG
Molecule: unclassified non-coding RNA, 257 nt
Filed under: plant metagenome
Description: partial contains small subunit ribosomal RNA, internal transcribed spacer 1, and 5.8S ribosomal RNA
Rfam family: Eukaryotic small subunit ribosomal RNA (bases 1-53)
Source: RNAcentral